GGCAGUAACUCAGUUGGUAGAGUGCUUGCCUCGCACACACAAGGCCCUGGGUUCAAUCCCCAACACCA
RNAcentral lists this transfer RNA (68 nucleotides) under Marmota monax (woodchuck). Its description in RNAcentral is "tRNA.Ala". The record is from RNAcentral. Lineage: Eukaryota; Metazoa; Chordata; Mammalia; Rodentia; Sciuridae.